GAGAAGCAUUGAAUUGAAGCCCCAGUAAACGGCGGCCGUAACUAUAACGGUCCUAAGGUAGCGAAAUUCCUUGUCGGGUAAGUUCCGACCUGCACGAAUGGUGUAAUGAUCCGGACACUGUCUCAACCGUGAGCCCAGUGAAAUUGUAGUAUCGGUGAAGAUGCCGAUUACCCGCGAUGGGACGAAAAGACCCCGUGAACCUUUACUAUAGCUUAGCAUUGAAUUUGGGCACGCGAUGUGUAGGAUAGGUCGGAGGC
RNAcentral lists this ribosomal RNA (257 nucleotides) under Bacteroides caecigallinarum. RNAcentral's name for it is "partial 23S ribosomal RNA". It matches the Rfam family "Bacterial large subunit ribosomal RNA", at positions 1899 to 2155 of the family's 2925-position model. Lineage: Bacteria; Pseudomonadati; Bacteroidota; Bacteroidia; Bacteroidales; Bacteroidaceae. The record is from RNAcentral.